AAUACCCUGGGACGUUAGUGAUUGCCAGGAGCGUUUUUGAGCCAAUGCUCGUAAUACGGGCGAAGGCUCCAGCGUGCUGGUGUGCAUGCCCGGUCAGCCGGGAAGCCUGAAGGCGCGCGAGCCAUGCCCACCUGGAAUAGCCAGGUUCAAAACCAACUGGCGACACGGCCUCCCGGGGCUUUC
Molecule: non-coding RNA, 183 nt
Filed under: Pseudodesulfovibrio aespoeensis
Lineage: Bacteria; Pseudomonadati; Thermodesulfobacteriota; Desulfovibrionia; Desulfovibrionales; Desulfovibrionaceae
Also listed under: 3 other names
Description: 6S RNA
Rfam family: 6S / SsrS RNA
About the family: E. coli 6S RNA was the first non coding RNA to be sequenced, but its function was unknown until recently. It consists of 184 nucleotides that fold into an extended hairpin structure with a large single-stranded internal bulge. The 6S RNA specifically associates with RNA polymerase holoenzyme containing the sigma70 specificity factor.
Source: RNAcentral